RNAcentral lists this ribosomal RNA (504 nucleotides) under Candida tropicalis. RNAcentral describes it as "LSU rRNA". It matches the Rfam family "Eukaryotic large subunit ribosomal RNA", at positions 89 to 600 of the family's 3401-position model. Lineage: Eukaryota; Fungi; Ascomycota; Pichiomycetes; Serinales; Debaryomycetaceae. The record is from RNAcentral.
GCGAGUGAGCGGCAAAAGCUCAAAUUUGAAAUCUGGCUCUUUCAGAGUCCGAGUUGUAAUUUGAAGAAGGUAUCUUUGGGUCUGGCUCUUGUCUAUGUUUCUUGGAACAGAACGUCACAGAGGGUGAGAAUCCCGUGCGAUGAGAUGAUCCAGGCCUAUGUAAAGUUCCUUCGAAGAGUCGAGUUGUUUGGGAAUGCAGCUCUAAGUGGGUGGUAAAUUCCAUCUAAAGCUAAAUAUUGGCGAGAGACCGAUAGCGAACAAGUACAGUGAUGGAAAGAUGAAAAGAACUUUGAAAAGAGAGUGAAAAAGUACGUGAAAUUGUUGAAAGGGAAGGGCUUGAGAUCAGACUUGGUAUUUUGUAUGUUACUUCUUCGGGGGUGGCCUCUACAGUUUAUCGGGCCAGCAUCAGUUUGGGCGGUAGGAGAAUUGCGUUGGAAUGUGGCACGGCUUCGGUUGUGUGUUAUAGCCUUCGUCGAUACUGCCAGCCUAGACUGAGGACUGCGG